CUUUAAAAUACCUUUAUUUAAAGAGAUUAGCUCAGGUGGGAGCCCAACAGGCUGUGCACACGCUGCCGCUGCUUCCCGGAUGGAUGCUCAGGAGGAGGAAAUGCUGCUUUGUCUGCUUUAUGUGCAGGCAGAGCCAGAAGAUCUGUCCUCGCAGGAGCGGCAGGAUUCUUCCCCUUUCAACAGUCUGUGCUAUGGUCCCAGGUCCUUACUCUAUUUGAGGUCUCUGGUUAGAGUGACAGAUUAAAACUUCUCUCCGGGUACUAGAAUUAGUUGCUCACCCUUCUGCAAGCGCCUCGGUCUUAUAAUUCUGCAAAGGCUCAUAGUUCUAGGGCUUUCUAGUGUGGUUUUUGAGGAGUUCCUGUAUUUGCAUACUUUUUCUGAUGUCAUCUCCUCUGCACAGGCCCGGGCGCCAUUUUCCAGGAAGUAGCAGCUGGCAGCACAGUGAAGCUGAACCUAACACAGAAGGAUCUCCAACAAGGAAUGAACACAGCACUUCAUCUGGGAGGAAAGUGUCUGAAGAGAGCAAGGGCCACAACACUGCUGAGAGGUUAUGACUGUAGCCAGCUGAAGUUUUCUCAUGUUGGUAAGCACAUGGGAGUGUGCAAUCCCAUUGACUUUUGUGCAUGUUCAUAAAAGAAUAGAAAAAUGUCAUUAUUCUCUCUCUUUAAACUUCAAUUGGUGCUAAUUCGUUUUUCUGUGAUGCAGUUUUUGGAAAACACAAAAAAAUUUGAACAUGGUUAAGCAUUAUUCUCUGUUUGAAGUUCUUGUGCCGAUGAAAGUCUCUUUCUGAAGAAAAUGUAGACUUCAUCAGACUUAUGACUUUUGUUAUUCACAGCACACCUGAAAUUUCCUGAAUUUUAUGUAUUCCAUGAAAUGUAAGAAUGUUUUAAAAGGUUGCUUUUCUGAGACCCCACAAAGGGAUAUAAUUACUAGUGUAUUAGCAAGUUGCUAUCUUUUUAUAUUUAG
RNAcentral lists this long non-coding RNA (966 nucleotides) under Taeniopygia guttata (zebra finch). Its description in RNAcentral is "lncRNA (ENSTGUG00000024985.1)". Lineage: Eukaryota; Metazoa; Chordata; Aves; Passeriformes; Estrildidae. The record is from RNAcentral.